AGGACGAACGCUGGCGGCGUGCUUAACACAUGCAAGUCGAGCGAUGAAGCUUCUUCGGAAGUGGAUUAGCGGCGGACGGGUGAGUAACACGUGGGUAACCUGCCUCAUAGAGGGGAAUAGCCUUUCGAAAGGAAGAUUAAUACCGCAUAAGAUUGUAGUACCGCAUGGUACAGCAAUUAAAGGAGCAAUCCGCUAUGAGAUGGACCCGCGUCGCAUUAGCUAGUUGGUGAGGUAACGGCUCACCAAGGCGACGAUACGUAGCCGACCUGAGAGGGUGAUCGGCCACACUGGGACUGAGACACGGCCCAGACUCCUACGGGAGGCAGCAGUAGGGAAUCUUCCACAAUGGGUGCAAACCUGAUGGAGCAAUGCCGCGUGAAUGAAGAAGGUCUUCGGAUCGUAAAGUUCUGUUAUUAGAGAAGAACAAAUCGAGGAGUAACUGUCUCGAUUUUGACGGUACCUAACCAGAAAGUCACGGCUAACUACGUG
Molecule: ribosomal RNA, 489 nt
Filed under: uncultured bacterium
Lineage: Bacteria
Description: bacterial SSU rRNA
Rfam family: Bacterial small subunit ribosomal RNA
Source: RNAcentral